GUGACAGUAGCUCAGUGGAUAGAGCACCUAAAUUCCUUCUUCACCACUUAUCCGCAAGGGUCGACGAAUUAGGGUUAUCGCCUUCUACGCGGGAGGUCGGGGGUUCGAUUCCCCCCUGUCACA
RNAcentral lists this transfer RNA (123 nucleotides) under Leptolyngbya cf. ectocarpi LEGE 11479. RNAcentral's name for it is "tRNA-OTHER". It matches the Rfam family "tRNA". Rfam says of the family: Transfer RNA (tRNA) molecules are approximately 80 nucleotides in length. Their secondary structure includes four short double-helical elements and three loops (D, anti-codon, and T loops). Lineage: Bacteria; Bacillati; Cyanobacteriota; Cyanophyceae; Leptolyngbyales; Leptolyngbyaceae. The record is from RNAcentral.